This 104-nucleotide ribosomal RNA is filed under the name Candidatus Epulonipiscium sp. RNAcentral describes it as "partial 16S ribosomal RNA". It matches the Rfam family "Bacterial small subunit ribosomal RNA", at positions 1438 to 1533 of the family's 1533-position model. The record is from RNAcentral. Lineage: Bacteria; Bacillati; Bacillota; Clostridia; Lachnospirales; Lachnospiraceae.
ACCGCAAGGGAGGAGCCGUCGAAGGUGAAGUCGAUGACUGGGGUGAAGUCGUAACAAGGUAGCCGUAUCGGAAGGUGCGGCUGGAUCACCUCCUUUCUAAGGAA